GGGUUGUGAGGUUAAGCGACUAAGCGUACACGGUGGAUGCCCUGGCAGUCAGAGGCGAUGAAGGACGUGCUAAUCUGCGAAAAGCGUCGGUAAGGUGAUAUGAACCGUUACAGCCGGCGAUGUCCGAAUGGGGAAACCCAGUGCAAUUCGUUGCACUAUCGUUAACUGAAUACAUAGGUUAACGAGGCGAACCGGGGGAACUGAAACAUCUAAGUACCCCGAGGAAAAGAAAUCAACCGAGAUUCCCCCAGUAGCGGCGAGCGAACGGGGAGCAGCCCAGAGUCUGAAUCAGCUUGUGUGUUAGUGGAACGGUCUGGAAAGUCCGACGGUACAGGGUGAUAGUCCCGUACACCAAAAUGCACAGGUUGUGAACUCGAAGAGUAGGGCGGGACACGUGGUAUCCUGUCUGAAUAUGGGGGGACCAUCCUCCAAGGCUAAAUACUCCUGACUGACCGAUAGUGAACCAGUACCGUGAGGGAAAGGCGAAAAGAACCCCGGCGAGGGGAGUGAAAAAGAACCUGAAACCGUGUACGUACAAGCAGUGGGAGCACCUUCGGGUGUGACUGCGUACCUUUUGUAUAAUGGGUCAGCGACUUAUAUUCUGUAGCAAGGUUAACCGUAUAGGGGAGCCGCAGGGAAACCGAGUCUUAACUGGGCGUUAAGUUGCAGGGUAUAGACCCGAAACCCGGUGAUCUAGCCAUGGGCAGGUUGAAGGUUGGGUAACACUAACUGGAGGACCGAACCGACUAAUGUUGAAAAAUUAGCGGAUGACUUGUGGCUGGGGGUGAAAGGCCAAUCAAACCGGGAGAUAGCUGGUUCUCCCCGAAAGCUAUUUAGGUAGCGCCUCGUGAACUCAUCUUCGGGGGUAGAGCACUGUUUCGGCUAGGGGGUCAUCCCGACUUACCAACCCGAUGCAAACUACGAAUACCGAAGAAUGUUAUCACGGGAGACACACGGCGGGUGCUAACGUCCGUCGUGAAGAGGGAAACAACCCAGACCGCCAGCUAAGGUCCCAAAGUCAUGGUUAAGUGGGAAACGAUGUGGGAAGGCACAGACAGCCAGGAUGUUGGCUUAGAAGCAGCCAUCAUUUAAAGAAAGCGUAAUAGCUCACUGGUCGAGUCGGCCUGCGCGGAAGAUGUAACGGGGCUAAACCAUGCACCGAAGCUGCGGCAGCGACACUAUGUGUUGUUGGGUAGGGGAGCGUUCUGUAAGCCUGCGAAGGUGUGCUGUGAGGCAUGCUGGAGGUAUCAGAAGUGCGAAUGCUGACAUAAGUAACGAUAAAGCGGGUGAAAAGCCCGCUCGCCGGAAGACCAAGGGUUCCUGUCCAACGUUAAUCGGGGCAGGGUGAGUCGACCCCUAAGGCGAGGCCGAAAGGCGUAGUCGAUGGGAAACAGGUUAAUAUUCCUGUACUUGGUGUUACUGCGAAGGGGGGACGGAGAAGGCUAUGUUAGCCGGGCGACGGUUGUCCCGGUUUAAGCAUGUAGGCUGAUUGUCCAGGCAAAUCCGGAUAAUCAAGGCUGAGGUGUGAUGACGAGGCACUACGGUGCUGAAGUAACAAAUGCCCUGCUUCCAGGAAAAGCCUCUAAGCAUCAGGUAACAUCAAAUCGUACCCCAAACCGACACAGGUGGUCAGGUAGAGAAUACCAAGGCGCUUGAGAGAACUCGGGUGAAGGAACUAGGCAAAAUGGUGCCGUAACUUCGGGAGAAGGCACGCUGGUGUGUAGGUGAAGUCCCUGCGGAUGGAGCUGAGACCAGUCGAAGAUACCAGCUGGCUGCAACUGUUUAUUAAAAACACAGCACUGUGCAAACACGAAAGUGGACGUAUACGGUGUGACGCCUGCCCGGUGCCGGAAGGUUAAUUGAUGGGGUUAUCCGUAAGGAGAAGCUCUUGAUCGAAGCCCCGGUAAACGGCGGCCGUAACUAUAACGGUCCUAAGGUAGCGAAAUUCCUUGUCGGGUAAGUUCCGACCUGCACGAAUGGCGUAAUGAUGGCCAGGCUGUCUCCACCCGAGACUCAGUGAAAUUGAACUCGCUGUGAAGAUGCAGUGUACCCGCGGCAAGACGGAAAGACCCCGUGAACCUUUACUAUAGCUUGACACUGAACAUUGAGCCUUGAUGUGUAGGAUAGGUGGGAGGCUUUGAAGCGUGGACGCCAGUCUGCGUGGAGCCAACCUUGAAAUACCACCCUUUAAUGUUUGAUGUUCUAACGUUGGCCCCUGACCGGGGUUGCGGACAGUGUCUGGUGGGUAGUUUGACUGGGGCGGUCUCCUCCCAAAGCGUAACGGAGGAGCACGAAGGUUAGCUAAUCCUGGUCGGACAUCAGGAGGUUAGUGCAAUGGCAUAAGCUAGCUUGACUGCGAGCGUGACGGCGCGAGCAGGUGCGAAAGCAGGUCAUAGUGAUCCGGUGGUUCUGAAUGGAAGGGCCAUCGCUCAACGGAUAAAAGGUACUCCGGGGAUAACAGGCUGAUACCGCCCAAGAGUUCAUAUCGACGGCGGUGUUUGGCACCUCGAUGUCGGCUCAUCACAUCCUGGGGCUGAAGUAGGUCCCAAGGGUAUGGCUGUUCGCCAUUUAAAGUGGUACGCGAGCUGGGUUUAGAACGUCGUGAGACAGUUCGGUCCCUAUCUGCCGUGGGCGCUGGAGAAUUGAGGGGGGCUGCUCCUAGUACGAGAGGACCGGAGUGGACGCAUCACUGGUGUUCGGGUUGUCAUGCCAAUGGCACUGCCCGGUAGCUAAAUGCGGAAGAGAUAAGUGCUGAAAGCAUCUAAGCACGAAACUUGCCCCGAGAUGAGUUCUCCCUGAGACUAUAAGUCUCCUGAAGGAACGUUAAAGACGAUGACGUUGAUAGGCCGGGUGUGUAAGCGCAGCGAUGCGUUGAGCUAACCGGUACUAAUGAACCGUGAGGCUUAACCUUACAACGCCGAAG
Molecule: ribosomal RNA, 2923 nt
Filed under: Klebsiella pneumoniae
Lineage: Bacteria; Pseudomonadati; Pseudomonadota; Gammaproteobacteria; Enterobacterales; Enterobacteriaceae
Description: bacterial LSU rRNA
Rfam family: Bacterial large subunit ribosomal RNA
Source: RNAcentral